UUCCCCUUCGGGGGACAAAGUGACAGGUGGUGCAUGGUUGUCGUCAGCUCGUGUCGUGAGAUGUUGGGUUAAGUCCCGCAACGAGCGCAACCCUUAAGCUUAGUUGCCAUCAUUAAGUUGGGCACUCUAAGUUGACUGCCGGUGACAAACCGGAGGAAGGUGGGGAUGACGUCAAAUCAUCAUGCCCCUUAUGAUUUGGGCUACACACGUGCUACAAUGGACAAUACAAAGGGCAGCGAAACCGCGAGGUCAAGCAAAUCCCAUAAAGUUGUUCUCAGUUCGGAUUGUAGUCUGCAACUCGACUACAUGAAGCUGGAAUCGCUAGUAAUCGUAGAUCAGCAUGCUACGGUGAAUACGUUCCCGGGUCUUGUACACACCGCCCGUCACACCACGAGAGUUUGUAACACCCGAAGCCGGUGGAGUAACCUUUUAGGAGCUAGCCGUCGAAGGUGGGACAAAUGAUUGGGGUGAAGUCGUAACAAGGUAGCCGUAUCGGAAGGUGCGGCUGGAUCAC
RNAcentral lists this ribosomal RNA (514 nucleotides) under Staphylococcus aureus. RNAcentral describes it as "bacterial SSU rRNA". It matches the Rfam family "Bacterial small subunit ribosomal RNA", at positions 1013 to 1526 of the family's 1533-position model. The record is from RNAcentral. Lineage: Bacteria; Bacillati; Bacillota; Bacilli; Caryophanales; Staphylococcaceae.